GCUGGGCAUGGUGGUGCAUGCCUGUAGUCUCAGCCACUGCAAAGGCUGAGGCAGGAGGAUCACUUGAGCCUGGGAGAUUGAGGCUGCAGUGAGCUUUGAUUGUGCCACUGCACUCCAGCUUGGGCAACAGAGUGAGAACCUGUCUCAA
Unclassified non-coding RNA from Macaca fascicularis (crab-eating macaque), 148 nucleotides. It matches the Rfam family "Metazoan signal recognition particle RNA". Rfam says of the family: The signal recognition particle (SRP) is a universally conserved ribonucleoprotein. It is involved in the co-translational targeting of proteins to membranes. The record is from Ensembl. NCBI's taxonomy places the organism in Eukaryota, Metazoa, Chordata, Mammalia, Primates, Cercopithecidae.